Molecule: microRNA precursor, 50 nt
Filed under: Ciona intestinalis (vase tunicate)
Lineage: Eukaryota; Metazoa; Chordata; Ascidiacea; Phlebobranchia; Cionidae
Description: microRNA cin-mir-4000g precursor
Source: miRBase by way of RNAcentral
UGAAACUUCUUUAGAAAGGGCCUGCUUUAGGCUCAUUCUAGGACGUUUUA